GACGAACGCUGGCGGCGUGCUUAACACAUGCAAGUCGAACGGAAAGGCCCUGCUUUUGUGGGGUGCUCGAGUGGCGAACGGGUAAGUAACACGUGAGUAACCUGCCCUUGACUUUGGGAUAACUUCAGGAAACUUGGGCUAAUACCGGAUAGGAGCUCCUGCUGCAUGGUGGGGGCUGGAAAGUUUCGGCGGUUGGGGAUGGAAUGGCGGCUUAUCAGCUUGUUGGUGGGGUAGUGGCAUACCAAGGCCUUGACAGGUAGCCGGGCUGAGAGGGUGACCGGACACAUUGGGACUGAAAUGCGACACAGACUACUACGGGAGGGGGCAGUGGGGAAGAGUGCACUAUGGGCGGAGCCCUGAUGCAGCAACGCCACGUGGGGGAUGACGGCCUUGGGUUAGUAUUCCACAUUCGCUUGUGACGAAACGUGAGUGACGGUAAUGGGUGAAGAAGCACCGGCUAACUACGUG
RNAcentral lists this ribosomal RNA (468 nucleotides) under uncultured bacterium. RNAcentral's name for it is "partial 16S ribosomal RNA". It matches the Rfam family "Bacterial small subunit ribosomal RNA", at positions 28 to 507 of the family's 1533-position model. The record is from RNAcentral.